UACGUAGGGUGCGAGCGUUAAUCGGAAUUACUGGGCGUAAAGUGUGCGCAGGCGGUUCGUUAAGUCAGAUGUGAAAGCCCCGGGCUCAACCUGGGAACUGCAUUUGAAACUGGCGGGCUUGAGUGUGGCAGAGGGGGGUGGAAUUCCGCGUGUAGCAGUGAAAUGCGUAGAGAUGCGGAGGAACACCGAUGGCGAAGGCAGCCCCCUGGGCCAACACUGACGCUCAGGCACGAAAGCGUGGGGAGCAAACAGG
This 253-nucleotide ribosomal RNA is filed under the name uncultured bacterium. RNAcentral's name for it is "partial 16S ribosomal RNA". It matches the Rfam family "Bacterial small subunit ribosomal RNA", at positions 524 to 776 of the family's 1533-position model. The record is from RNAcentral.